This 497-nucleotide ribosomal RNA is filed under the name uncultured bacterium. Its description in RNAcentral is "partial 16S ribosomal RNA". It matches the Rfam family "Bacterial small subunit ribosomal RNA", at positions 28 to 507 of the family's 1533-position model. The record is from RNAcentral.
GAUGAACGCUGGCGGCGUGCCUAAUAUAUGCAAGUCGAGCGAACAGACGAGGAGCUUGCUCCUCUGACGUUAGCGGCGGACGGGUGAGUAACACGUGGAUAACCUACCUAUAAGACUGGGAUAACUUCGGGAAACCGGAGCUAAUACCGGAUAAUAUAUUGAACCGCAUGGUUUAAUAGUGAAAGACGGUUUUGCUGUCACUUAUAGAUGGAUCCGCGCCGCAUUAGCUAGUUGGUAAGGUAACGGCUUACCAAGGCAACGAUGCCUAGCCCACCUGUGAGGGUCAUCUCCCACACUGGCACUGAGACAGCUUCCAGACUCCUACGCGAGCCAGCAGUAUCGAAUUUUCCGCAAUGUUCGAUAGCCUGACCGAGCAGCGCCGCAUGAGUGAUUAAGGUCUUCUGAUCGUAAAUCUCUGUUAUUAGGGAAGACCAAAUGUGUAAGUAACUAUGCACGUCUUGACGGUACCUAACCAGAAAGCCACGGCUAACUACGUG